RNAcentral lists this ribosomal RNA (254 nucleotides) under uncultured Lactobacillus sp. Its description in RNAcentral is "partial 16S ribosomal RNA". It matches the Rfam family "Bacterial small subunit ribosomal RNA", at positions 109 to 354 of the family's 1533-position model. Lineage: Bacteria; Bacillati; Bacillota; Bacilli; Lactobacillales; Lactobacillaceae. The record is from RNAcentral.
AGUAACACGUGGGCAAUCUGCCCUAAAGACUGGGAUACCACUUGGAAACAGGUGUUAAUACCGGAUAACAACACGAAUCGCAUGAUUCAAGUUUGAAAGGCGGCGCAAGCUGUCACUUUAGGAUGAGCCCGCGGCGCAUUAGCUAGUUGGUGGGGUAAAGGCCUACCAAGGCAAUGAUGCGUAGCCGAGUUGAGAGACUGAUCGGCCACAUUGGGACUGAGACACGGCCCAAACUCCUACGGGAGGCAGCAGGU